This 495-nucleotide ribosomal RNA is filed under the name uncultured bacterium. RNAcentral's name for it is "partial 16S ribosomal RNA". It matches the Rfam family "Bacterial small subunit ribosomal RNA", at positions 28 to 507 of the family's 1533-position model. The record is from RNAcentral.
GACGAACGCUGGCGGCGUGCCUAAUACAUGCAAGUAGAACGCUGAAGGAGGAGCUUGCUUCUCUGGAUGAGUUGCGAACGGGUGAGUAACGCGUAGGUAACCUGCCUGGUAGCGGGGGAUAACUAUUGGAAACGAUAGCUAAUACCGCAUAAGAGUAGAUGUUGCAUGACAUUUACUUAAAAGGUGCAAUUGCAUCACUACCAGAUGGACCUGCGUUGUAUUAGCUAGUUGGUGAGGUAACGGCUCACCAAGGCAACGAUACAUAGCCGACCUGAGAGGGUGAUCGGCCACACUGGGACUGAGACACGGCCCAGACUCCUACGGGAGGCAGCAGUAGGGAAUCUUCGGCAAUGGACGGAAGUCUGACCGAGCAACGCCGCGUGAGUGAAGAAGGUUUUCGGAUCGUAAAGCUCUGUUGUAAGAGAAGAACGAGUGCGAGAGUGGAAAGUUCACACUGUGACGGUAUCUGACCAGAAAGGGACGGCUAACUACGUG